Molecule: long non-coding RNA, 495 nt
Organism: Trifolium pratense (red clover)
Lineage: Eukaryota; Viridiplantae; Streptophyta; Magnoliopsida; Fabales; Fabaceae
Exons: 2
Source: RefSeq, a predicted model, not a curated record
AAAAGUCUUUUCACAACUAGAAGUAUUAAAAACUAUUUUAUUUAUAUAAGGAGAACAUGCAAAGUGAUAAAAAUAAAAUUCUAUUUGAUAUAUAAAAGAGUGAAAAAUAUGGAUAAAAUUUUCAAAUUUGUUCAUGUUAUGAUAAUCCUUCUCUUCCUAUUUCCUCUUUCAAUGCAAACGCCAUUUCCUAUCAUGCCAUGUAUUCGUGAUCGUGAUUGUUUAGUGGUUGGAAAACCCCGGAAUGGAAUACCUAUUCAAAAAUUAUGGUGUCGUAAAGGUUUUUGUGUAUUAAAAUAAUUAUAGAUCUCGGAAGAUUAUAUGAUUGUCAGACCCGCACACCAGGACAUUCCAUGAGUUCUUAUUUAGUUAAUGUAACCCAAUAAAUAAAUUUUCUUUUAGGUUUUUUAAUUUCACGUACCUUGUUAGUUUUGUACUUUAAGAUGAUGCAAAUGAAAUGAAAUAAAGCAUGAAAAAUAUUAUCGAUAGUUUCUUCAA